Molecule: transfer RNA, 65 nt
Filed under: Conchocele cf. bisecta HPD1644
Lineage: Eukaryota; Metazoa; Mollusca; Bivalvia; Lucinida; Thyasiridae
Description: tRNA-Thr
Source: RNAcentral
GCUAUAAUAGUCUAUUAAGGAUUUUAGUUUUGUAAACUAAGGGUAGAUAAAUAAUCUUUAUAGUU